Molecule: RNA transcript, 3158 nt
Organism: Culicoides brevitarsis
Lineage: Eukaryota; Metazoa; Arthropoda; Insecta; Diptera; Ceratopogonidae
Gene: cg
Gene name: zinc finger protein 665
Exons: 12
Source: RefSeq, a predicted model, not a curated record
GUACCUAUAACGCGCGAGCAAGUAUUAUUUUCAACAACAAGCACACAAAACUUUUUUUUUUGUACAUUUCUUGCCUGCUUGCUUCUACGUCGAUCGUCGUCGGACACAUUUUUAUAACAAUAAUAAUAAAAUAUAAAAUAUUUGGAUUAGUUACACGGAAAAAUUCAGUGUAUUUAGUGUCGUCGUAUACAGUCGCAUCUCGCACAUAUACAAACUACUAAAAAAAAUAUGUGCAAGUAAAAAACAAAAAAUAAUAAUAAUAAUAAUUGGAGACGCCAAAGUCUAAAAAAAGUAAAAUUUAAUUUUUUUUUGGAGCGAAAAAGGAGGAAAAAUGUGCGCCGCUCAGACAAACACGUCAAAUCAAACGUUCGGAUAUACAUGGGGCUUCGCGGACAAUUCUCGCGGCGAAAGUGUCGUCGAGAUCUCGCCAAAUAUCAACUAUACAGUCAGUGAUGCGAUGCCAUACUUGCAGUUGGCGGAUGGCAGCAACAUCAUCAUACAGAAACAGGAUACAAAGGGUAACAUCACGCAUACCAACAAGACCGGCGUGCGACGUAUGCUGGUAGUGAACAGCGCCGAUGCCUUUCCGCAAGGAACAACACAGAGGGUCAUAACGACGUCGGGAGGCGCCGCAACAGUGACACAUCACAAGAAACACGAUGUUCUAAGUAUGGGAUGCGAUAAAAACUGCAAUUGCAGCGAAGGCAGUACGACAACAGUCACACCGAUUUUUACGACAACAAAUGGUUUGAUUGAUUCAAAACACACGACAGUCUUGACGUCGAGCGGCAAAGCAGCGGGCGCCACGCAAUUCAUGAGCCCCUUUGGCCCGAUUCAACUUACCGCCGAGGAAUGCAAUGAAAUUCUGUUGAAGCGACAAAUGAAUGCCGCAACGACAACGACGCCGCAACACACGGCAACCAUUAACACAUCGAACGACGGGCAUCACUCGAUUUCGGUGCAAGUGCAAAAAGUCAUUCAGGGCUUGGAAAAUGAUGAGUCGGAGAGUCCGACGACAAUAACGCAUUGCAAAAUUGAACCAAACAUGGAAAUUACGCCGAAAAUUGAGCAAACUGACGAGAUGCAAGACAGUAUGAACAAUUCGGCACAAGCCAAGGAACGUCCUUAUGCGUGCGAUCAAUGCGGCAAAUCCUUCUUGCUAAAACACCAUUUGACGACACAUGCUCGUGUCCAUACCGGCGAACGCCCUCAUGUUUGUCCCCAUUGCGGCAAGGAUUUCGCUCACAAACAUUGCUUGAACACCCAUUUGGUGCUCCAUUCAACUGAACGUCCUUUCCAAUGUCAGGAAUGCAAAAAAUCUUUCACGCUCAAGCAUCAUUUGUUGACACACGCUCGCGUUCAUAGUCGCGAAAGACCUUUCGUGUGUCAAGAAUGCGGAAGAUCGUUCCCAUUGAAACGUCAUUUAGUGACUCACACGAAAUUUCACGCCGGAGAACGACCUUUUGUGUGUGAAGAGUGCGGAGAAUCAUUCGCUCAAAAGGAUCAUCUUGUAAUGCAUUCACGUUUUCAUGGGUCUGUUAAUCCAUUUGUUUGCAAUGAGUGUGGACAAACGUUCCCCCGAAAAUUCCAACUUGUGAAUCACGGAAAGCUUCAUGGAAAAGUUCCGCAUGCUUGUACGGUUUGCGGCAAAGAAUUUUUGCAGAAACGAACGUUAGCAGCUCAUAUGCGUCUUCAUACGGGAGAUCAACCGUAUCCUUGUAUCGCUUGCGGCGAAGGUUUCCGUACCAAAAGUGAACUUAACCAACAUAAUCGCUCCGUGCACAAUGGCGUGAAUCCGAAUUCGAGCAAUACGACAAUUGUGCCCGUGAAUCGUAUUGUGACGACAGUUGCUGCGAGUCAACAGCAGCAGCAGCAACAACAGCAAACGCAGCAGAUUCAGAUUCAACAGGUUCAACCACAGCAAAUUCAACAAGAUCAUCAUACCGUCGAGAUCCAAACCGUUCAACAUCAUGUCACGCAAAAUCAUCAACCGCAAACAAUUACCGUCGUUAGCGGCAAUCAAAAUUUGCUCCAUCAGAUCAGUCAAGCACAGCAACAACAAGAGGCUUCGCCGCAACGCCCUCAGCACGGAUGUCGUGAAUGCGGAUCUGCAUUCCUUACCAAAGAAGCGCUCGCCUUGCAUAUGCGCCUUCACACGGGAGACAAGAGUCUCAUGACAGACUUGUGUGCAUUGACAGCUGCGAUUCCCGGAUUGUCCUUCCAAGGAGUUCCAACAUCGCCCGUUCCCGUGCAAAUUGUGUCAUCAACAGGACAAGUUAUCGGCCAAACGCAAAUCAGUCACAGUUCGCCGCAACAACAAGUUCAAGUACAAACGACGCAAACGUCUCAACCGACACAAAUCAAGUACGAAACGGUACAAAUGAUUCCGCAGCAACAAGUACAAGUGCAACAGCAGCAGCAACAGCAACCGCAAACGCAGACAAUUAUCCAACAAGUGACGCAACAGAAGCCAAAAUCGCAUUUCUGUGGGCAUUGUCAAAAAGGAUUUGCUGCUAAACAUGGUUUGUUAUUGCACAAUAAACGUCAUCCGAAUGGUACUUGCACUAUGAGAUCACACGUUUGUGAAUGCGGAAAGGCUUUCUUCCAAAAGAAUCAUCUCAUGUUGCAUCAGAGACAACAUAUGGAGCAAAAGCCUAACAUUCAACAAUUGCAACAAGUUCAAGGCAACGAAGUAAUCGUCACGCAAGGCGGUCAACAAAUCCAAACGAACGGCGCUCAUCAACAAGGACAAAUUCGCAUCAUCAACAACCAACAGAUGCAGCUACAGGUGUUGCCAGACAACAACCAGCAAGUAAUUAAAUACGAAAUUAUCCAGCACGAGGGUCGCCAGUCGAUUGAAUGAGGAGAGGCCACACUUCGAAUUCAAAAACCGGAUGGUUCGGAGGAGCUGAGAAAAGUAUUUAUCCUCAAGUAAAUGCUCUUCUCAGCUCGCAAAUGCAUGGCCCGGAAAAAAAUCGUUGUACAUAAAAAUAUGCGUUUCUUAGUUUUACAGUGACUCAUUCAAUCGAUUGGCUUCGAUUCUGCUAUGAACAGAGAACUUUGAUGCACGAUUUCGACCUCGAUGAUGAUGAAAACUUAGACUAUAAGAGCGAAUGAGCUUUAAGUUACUUUAGAUGAAAAAGUAAGCAAAAAUAUCC